This 635-nucleotide ribosomal RNA is filed under the name Russula aff. mustelina r-05040. Its description in RNAcentral is "LSU rRNA". It matches the Rfam family "Eukaryotic large subunit ribosomal RNA", at positions 41 to 649 of the family's 3401-position model. The record is from RNAcentral. Lineage: Eukaryota; Fungi; Basidiomycota; Agaricomycetes; Russulales; Russulaceae.
UAUCAAUAAGCGGAGGAAAAGAAACUAACAAGGAUUCCCCUAGUAACUGCGAGUGAAGCGGGAAAAGCUCAAAUUUAAAAUCUGGUGGCCUUUGGCCAUCCGAGUUGUAAUUUAGAGAAGCGUCUUCCGCGCUGGACCGUGCACAAGUCUCCUGGAAUGGAGCGUCAUAGAGGGUGAGAAUCCCGUCUUUGGCACGGACUCCCGGUGCUUCUGUGAUGCGCUCUCGACGAGUCGAGUUGUUUGGGAAUGCAGCUCAAAAUGGGUGGUGAACUCCAUCUAAAGCUAAAUACUGGCGAGAGACCGAUAGCGAACAAGUACCGUGAGGGAAAGAUGAAAAGCACUUUGGAAAGAGAGUGAAACAGUACGUGAAAUUGUUGAAAGGGAAACGCUUGAAGUCAGUCGCGUCGACCGAGACUCAGCCUUGCCUCGGCUUGGUGUACUUCUCGGCUUGACGGGUCAGCAUCAAUUUCGAUCCUCGGAUAAUGGCAAGGGAAAGGUGGCACCUUUUUAGGUGUGUUAUAGUCCUCUGUCGCAUGCGAGGGUCGGGAUUGAGGAACUCAGCACGCGCCUCCGGGUGUCGGGGCCUCGGCCCACGUUACGUGCUUAGGAUGCUGGCGUAAUGGCUUUAAACGACC